UACGUCCACGUCCACAGAGUUUGCUGCUCAUUUUACAAAGCUGUUUACUACGACCUAAAAACGUUAAAAUCAUAAAUAUAUUGUCGUAGGUUAUUGUACAAUAAAUAUUCUACAUUAAAUGAAUAUAAAAAGUCAAUUUUGGAGGCUUUAUCACGGCAGAACGUCGAAGUUCAGUUCACCUCACUUGCACGUCUUUGGACUGUUGGAGGAAACCGGCGCAUCCGCAGGAAACCCACACAGACACGGGGAGAACAUGCAAACUCCACACAGAAAGGACCCGGACCUUCUUGCUGUGAGGCGACCGUGCCGCCCCCUGUAUGGUAGAGCACAGACUGCACAGACGGUGUCAGAUGCCUCCCCAUGGUUACCUUGUAUGAGGUGGAGCAAGGUAGCUCAGAGGUCUAUCUUUAGUCGGGCGGGGCUGGAGCUUGUUGAAAGCAGAUGUAUUGUUGUACCAAGUAGUAUUCCAAAUUAGCGUUUAUUGAUGUACAUUAUUACUAUGUGUAUAUAAUGAAAAUGUAUAGGGAUGUAACGAUACACUCUACCCACGAUGCGAUGCGAUUCACGAUACUGGAUUCACUGUACGAUUUUUUUCCUGAUUUUUUUAAACAAAAUGAAAUUGAAGACAAAU
Molecule: long non-coding RNA, 631 nt
Organism: Trichomycterus rosablanca
Lineage: Eukaryota; Metazoa; Chordata; Actinopteri; Siluriformes; Trichomycteridae
Exons: 3
Source: RefSeq, a predicted model, not a curated record